RNAcentral lists this long non-coding RNA (213 nucleotides) under Elaeis guineensis (African oil palm). RNAcentral describes it as "long non-coding RNA (EGUI_LNC045380)". Lineage: Eukaryota; Viridiplantae; Streptophyta; Magnoliopsida; Arecales; Arecaceae. The record is from RNAcentral.
GGGAGGAAGGAUGAUAUUAAAAUAGUUGCAAAAAUAGGAACCAAAUUUGAGCUUUUUAAAGUUGAGUUUAUUAAAAAAACCACCCAAUAUUGAAAGGCCAAAAGCAUAAUUACCCCUUUUUCAAAACUUCUAAAGAUUCAUCUUGAGUAAUUAGUUAACAGUAUCCUGCAUGGACGAGAGCCCAAAUGAAGAUCAGCAAUUCUUGGUCACGUU